Molecule: ribosomal RNA, 447 nt
Filed under: uncultured bacterium
Lineage: Bacteria
Description: bacterial SSU rRNA
Rfam family: Bacterial small subunit ribosomal RNA
Source: RNAcentral
UCGGGAAUUUUGGGCAAUGGGCGAAAGCCUGACCCAGCAACGCCGCGUGAAGGAUGAAGUAUUUCGGUAUGUAAACUUCGAAAGAAUAGGAAGAAUAAAUGACGGUACUAUUUAUAAGGUCCGGCUAACUACGUGCCAGCAGCCGCGGUAAUACGUAGGGUGCAGGCGUUAAUCGGAAUUACUGGGCGUAAAGCGUGCGCAGGCGGUUUGUUAAGACAGGUGUGAAAUCCCCGGGCUUAACCUGGGAAUUGCGCUUGUAACUGGCAGGCUAGAGUGUGGCAGAGGGGGGUGGAAUUCCACGUGUAGCAGUGAAAUGCGUAGAUAUGUGGAGGAACACCGAUGGCGAAGGCAGCCCCCUGGGUUAACACUGACGCUCAUGCACGAAAGCGUGGGGAGCAAAUAGGAUUAGAUACCCGUGUAGUCCCUGAGCGGGCUGGCAAGGCGCAU